This 119-nucleotide ribosomal RNA is filed under the name Esox lucius (northern pike). Lineage: Eukaryota; Metazoa; Chordata; Actinopteri; Esociformes; Esocidae. The record is from RNAcentral.
GCUUACGGCCCACACCUCCUGAGCACGCCCGAUCUCGUCUGAUCUCGGAAGCUAAGCAGGGUCGGGCCCGGUUAGUACUUGGAUGGGAGGACCGCCUGGAAUACCAGGUGCUGUAAGCC